This 468-nucleotide ribosomal RNA is filed under the name uncultured bacterium. RNAcentral describes it as "partial 16S ribosomal RNA". It matches the Rfam family "Bacterial small subunit ribosomal RNA", at positions 28 to 507 of the family's 1533-position model. The record is from RNAcentral.
GACGAACGCUGGCGGCGUGCCUAACACAUGCAAGUCGAACGGAAAGGCCCUGCUUUUGUGGGGUGCUCGAGUGGCGAACGGGUGAGUAACACGUGAGUAACCUGCCCUUGACUUUGGGAUAACUUCAGGAAACUGGGGCUAAUACCGGAUAGGAGCUCCUGCUGCAUGGUGGGGGUUGGAAAGUUUCGGCGGUUGGGGAUGGACUCGCGGCUUAUCAGCUUGUUGGUGGGGUAGUGGCUUACCAAGGCUUUGACGGGUAGCCGGCCUGAGAGGGUGACCGGCCACAUUGGGACUGAGAUACGGCCCAGACUCCUACGGGAGGCAGCAGUGGGGAACAUUGCACAAUGGGCGGAAGCCUGAUGCAGCAACGCCGCGUGCGGGAUGACGGCCUUCGGGUUGUAAACCGCUUUCGCCUGUGACGAAGCGUGAGUGACGGUAAUGGGUAAAGAAGCACCGGCUAACUACGUG